Molecule: ribosomal RNA, 253 nt
Filed under: uncultured bacterium
Lineage: Bacteria
Description: partial 16S ribosomal RNA
Rfam family: Bacterial small subunit ribosomal RNA
Source: RNAcentral
UACGGAGGGUGCGAGCGUUGUCCGGAAUCACUGGGCGUAAAGGGCGCGUAGGCGGCCUGGUAAGUAGGGGGUGAAAUCCUGCGGCUUAACCGCAGGGCUGCCUUCUAAACUGUCAGGCCCGAGCACGGUAGAGGCAGAUGGAAUUCCCGGUGUAGCGGUGGAAUGCGUAGAGAUCGGGAAGAACAUCAGUGGCGAAGGCGGUCUGCUGGGCCGUUGCUGACGCUGAGGCGCGACAGCGUGGGGAGCAAACAGG